CUUAACUGUUUUUUUAAGCUAUUCACAGAGUCAACACAUUUCAAGUCUAACCAGAGAAAGACACAUGCUCUUCAAUUUUAUCCUUUAGCGAGCAGCAACCAGUAAGCUUUAUCUUACCAUUUCGAAACCUACAAAAGGUUUCGAAAGGUCUACAUGUCACAAAGGGUCACAGUGAUAAUGAAAGAGUGUUGGCAUAGUGUCAUUUUCUGGUUAGCUUGGGCCUUUCUCUUUCCUGGAUCUGUAAAUCCUGUAUAGAUUUCCUACAGGUCCUCUUACAAUCCAAAGACAUGUUUGGUAAAUUGGUAAGUGGCUUAAGGUGUGGCUGCGAGGUAGAUAAAUAUUUAGUGCACAUGAAUAUAUGGGAAAAAAUUAUACCUAGCUUAAAGUGUAAAGCUCUCUGAGUGAUCAGUGAGACUAGAAAAGCUCUAUGAAGUCCAUUUAAGCUAGAUCUUUAAUGGAGAAAGGUGUGUGAUUCUGUAAGGUAAUCACAAUUAUUUCGAACUAGAAUCUGAAUUUGACUUGGAAAGAGUUUCACGGGACCUCUUGGUCAAAGGUUUUGCAGACUCAUUCUGAAUCACUGCUUAAAAAUCCCAGGAUGGUUUGCAAACUGAGAAAUUAAUUAAAGCAGCCUAAAUGAAAUGGAAAAAAAAAGUAGCAUGAAUAAUCACCUUUGUCACAGCCUGAGUUUCAAAAUAUCUUUUACAUGCAAAAAGAAGAAACAAAUCUUACACUGUGGUGAGACCCCAAGAAUUCUGACUGACACUUCCUGCUACUUGGUGUCACAAACGGACACACACACAGGGACACAAAUAAAAACCUCAUCAUUUUUGCAUCACAUUUUACACGAUAAUUUCUAAUUAGACAGACAUAUUAAAAUGGUUAAAGGUUUGUAACAGAAUAUUCUUUACAAACCCCUCAUAAAAAUACCUUUCAUUUUGUGCUCAACUGCAAAUGAUUACCAACAGCAAAAGUACAGCAGGAGUGCCAUGAUGUGAGUGAGUGUGUGGUAUUCUUCCAUUUGAGUCCUGUGAGUUCCUGUCUCCGCCCAUGUGGAUGAGGCUCUGGUUCCUCACCUGCUUCUCUCACCUGUAAUCCAUUGACGGCAAUCAGCGACCCUUAAAGCCAGCGCAAUCCUGCACUCUUUGAUAGUUUGUCAGCUACCUCAUGGUGGUAACUAGGCCUCCUUGGCUCCCACAGCUCAUGUUUGGGUUGGUUGGUUGGUUGGUUGGUUGGUUGGGGGGGGGGGUUGCCUUGUACUUACUCCCAUCUCCUUGUGUCCCUAGUUCUCUUGCCUCCAAUUAACCUCACCUACAGUGUAAUGUCUUGGAUGCUGGCCACACCUGGUAACACUCUCCAAACCUGCUUGCAGCCCCUUUCCUGAAAACAGCACUACUCACUGGACUAGCUUGCCAUCACUCCUGGAUUCCUGGAAUCACAAGGUUGGAACCUCACCUUUCACACACCCCUCCAUUCAGCCAGACGCUCACUCGGCUACCCUCCCGAAGCCUCUCACCUCCCACCUGCAAUGCCUCCGUGCCAGAGACCUUUGCUACGUUCCUCUCGUCGCCUUUUGUACAUGUUUCCUGUGCACAAUAAAACCUUGUUAAAUAUCA
Molecule: long non-coding RNA, 1613 nt
Organism: Oreochromis aureus
Lineage: Eukaryota; Metazoa; Chordata; Actinopteri; Cichliformes; Cichlidae
Exons: 2
Source: RefSeq, a predicted model, not a curated record